This 21-nucleotide microRNA is filed under the name Populus trichocarpa (black cottonwood). RNAcentral describes it as "ptc-miR6467". The record is from miRBase by way of RNAcentral. Lineage: Eukaryota; Viridiplantae; Streptophyta; Magnoliopsida; Malpighiales; Salicaceae.
AUAAGCUGUCGAGCGUUUUGU